CUCCUAACUGUUUCCUGGCUUUGUACAACAUGAAAACAAACAAUAAGAUUCUUGAAUACCGUUAUCCCAUCAUACCCAAGUUCCAGAGAUCAAAGAGCAUCCUGUUCUACGCAAUUGCAACUAUCAUCUCAGGGACAGGAGAAGCCUCCGAGUAUCCCCGACAUUUACC
This is a long non-coding RNA of Haliotis rufescens (red abalone), 169 nucleotides long. RefSeq lists it as uncharacterized. The transcript is spliced from 3 exons. The record is from RefSeq and is a predicted model, not a curated record. Lineage: Eukaryota; Metazoa; Mollusca; Gastropoda; Lepetellida; Haliotidae.